AGGAUUAAAGUUUAAAAUAAUAUUUGAUUUGCAUUCAAAAGAUGUUGAAAUAAAAUCAACUUAUCUUA
RNAcentral lists this transfer RNA (68 nucleotides) under Amara aulica. RNAcentral describes it as "tRNA-Ala". It matches the Rfam family "tRNA". Rfam says of the family: Transfer RNA (tRNA) molecules are approximately 80 nucleotides in length. The record is from RNAcentral. Lineage: Eukaryota; Metazoa; Arthropoda; Insecta; Coleoptera; Carabidae.